CAAUCUGGCUUCAGGUCGGGGAUAACUACUGGAAACGGUGGCUAAUACCGGAUGUGCCGAGAGGUGAAAGGCUUGCUGCCUGAAGAUGAGCUCGCGUCUGAUUAGCUAGUAGGUGUGGUAAGAGCGCACCUAGGCGACGAUCAGUAGCUGGUCUGAGAGGAUGAUCAGCCACACUGGGACUGAGACACGGCCCAGACUCCUACGGGAGGCAGCAGUGGGGAAUUUUCCGCAAUGGGCGAAAGCCUGACGGAGCAAUACCGCGUGAGGGAGGAAGGCUCUUGGGUUGUAAACCUCUUUUCUCAAGGAAUAAUUAUGAAGGUACUUGAGGAAUAAGCAUCGGCUAACUCCGUGCCAGCAGCCGCGGUAAUACGGAGGAUGCAAGCGUUAUCCGGAAUGAUUGGGCGUAAAGCGUCCGCAGGUGGCGAUGUAAGUCUGCUGUUAAAGAGUGAGGCUCAACCUCAUAAGAGCAGUGGAAACUACAUGGCUAGAGUGCGUUCGGGGUAGAGGGAAUUCCUGGUGUAGCGGUGAAAUGCGUAGAGAUCAGGAAGAACACCGGUGGCGAAGGCGCUCUACUAGGCCGCAACUGACACUGAGGGACGAAAGCUAGGGGAGCG
RNAcentral lists this ribosomal RNA (614 nucleotides) under Anabaena sp. 29-SKD-2014. Its description in RNAcentral is "bacterial SSU rRNA". It matches the Rfam family "Bacterial small subunit ribosomal RNA", at positions 122 to 770 of the family's 1533-position model. Lineage: Bacteria; Bacillati; Cyanobacteriota; Cyanophyceae; Nostocales; Nostocaceae. The record is from RNAcentral.